This 439-nucleotide ribosomal RNA is filed under the name uncultured bacterium. RNAcentral describes it as "partial 16S ribosomal RNA". It matches the Rfam family "Bacterial small subunit ribosomal RNA", at positions 339 to 795 of the family's 1533-position model. The record is from RNAcentral.
CUACGGGGGGCACCAGUGAGGAAUAUUGCACAAUGGGGGGAACCCUGAUGCAGCAACGCCGCGUGGAGGAUGACGCAUUUCGGUGUGUAAACUCCUUUUAUAUGUCAAGAAAAUGACGGUAGCAUAUGAAUAAGCACCGGCUAACUCCGUGCCAGCAGCCGCGGUAAUACGGAGGGCGCAAGCGUUACUCGGAAUCACUGGGCGUAAAGGACGCGUAGGCGGGUUGAAAAGUCAGGUGUGAAAGCCUACAGCUUAACUGUAGAACUGCACUUGAAACUCUCAAUCUAGGGUAUGGGAGGGGCAGAUGGAAUUAGUGGUGUAGGGGUAAAAUCCGUAGAUAUCACUAGGAAUACCUAAAGCGAAGGCGAUCUGCUGGAACAUUACUGACGCUAAGGCGUGAAAGCGUGGGGAGCAAACAGGAUUAGAUACCCCAGUAGUC